AUGACUUCCCAUGUAGGAUUUCUUGACCCUCAAGCUUCCUUCACUUCCAAAGCUGAUCAUGAUGGUUCUAGAAAGGCCUUGCUUCGGUCCAACAAUAUACUGAGACCCCUUGAAUCGUUGCCCCCAUCAGGUGCACAGCCAAAACUUUUUCAAAAGAGAUAAUUACUGCAAAGGCAAGAGUACUGAAGUACUUGUUGAUAGUAAGAAGAGGAAGACGUGUAAUAAUAUUAUUGGAGAAGGUGGGUCGGGGUUGAAUUAUGAUUCUGAUGAGAUCAGUGAUGACAAUAAUAAGAUGGAAGAGAUUAGUGCAAGGAACGGUGGAAACAGCCCCAAUGCCAAUAGCACCAUCACUGGCGGUGUGCAUCAAAAGGGCAAGAAGACGUGAAUUCCUGCUAAGAAUUUGAUGGCUGAACGCCGCCGAAGGAAGAAGCUCAAUGAUAGACUCUACAUGCUGCUGAGAUCCGUUGUUCCUAAUAUUAGCAAAAUGGACAGGGCUUCAAUCCUUGGGGAUGCAAUCGAGUAUUUGAAGGAACUUCUGCAAAGGAUCAGUGAGCUUCGCAAUGAAUUGGAGUCAACACCUGCAGCAGGUGCCUCUUCAAGCUUUCUUCUUCAUCCUUUGACACCCACUACUCUACCAACACGUAUGCAAGAAGAACUUUGUCUCAGCUCGUUGCCAAGCCCUAAUGCCCAACCUGCUAGUGCUAGGGUUGAGGUUGGGUUGCGCGAAGGAAGAGGUGUAAAAACAUCCACAUGUUUUGCAACCGGAAACCCGGACUCAUGCUCUCGACAACCUUGGAUAAGCUAUGGAUAUUUUCAGAGCUGAGCAACGCAACGAAGGUCAAGAUGUUCAUCCGGAGAAAAUAAAAGCAGUUUUGUUGGAUUCAGCUGGUGGCUUCCAUAGCAUGACCUAAUGGCAAGAAACAAACUACUGACACUGCCUUUCAAAUUAGUCAAUUUAGCAAUCUUAAUGUUUUUAAUGCUCAAAAUUCAAAUGCAUUAUACAGGCUCUUUUAACUUCUGCUCAGCUGAAUUAGGAGAAAGUUUAUUUUACCAAUUAAAAGCACUACUAUUUUUGGCGCCUUUUGCAUAUUCAAAGUGAAACGAAAUUUGAUGAUGGUCUCCACUCAGUUUAGAGACAUUCUGAAUAUGCAUAUGUUGAUGUCAAGCUUGUUUCUACAAUUUCAUUGUCUUCAUUGUACAAUUAGUAGGUACAAAGCUUUAAUGGACUGUUUUCUCUAUUUUUUCCUAUUUCAUUUAUCGCCAAAAAUGAAAAGGAGAAAAAGAUAAGAAUAAGGAUAAACGAAAAGAGCUUUUACCAGACAAAACUGAAAAUUCAAUGCUGGCUUCUGAAGAGGUCAGGAUAAAUGGGGUCUCAUGCAUCAGCAGCAAAAAAUUAAAGGUUUUGCCAAAACACAGUCCCCACUGUAGGCUACUUUUAAUCUAGAUAAGUAAUGAAUUCCAUGGGCCAAAGCUUGUUAGACAUAAAGGACAAAACCACGGAAAUAAUGAGGUCCACAACGUGCACAUACAGAGUAUGUUUCUCUAGCAGAAAAGUACAAUCAAUUAAUUUAUUUUUCUUUUCAAAAAACAUUAUUAUUGGUCAUUCAUCGAUGGUGCUUUCAAGGAAUGAAGUUUUAUCACGUAACCACGUUACACAUCCCAGAGAGAGGACCACACCACAACUAGCAGUGUCAUCGCAACGAUAAACCACAAAUACAUUUCACUAGAAUUUUCAGAUCCAAGUGUCCACUUUCUUCACCCGUGACAUGACAUCAACUUCAAUCUACGCCGCUCGCUCGAAAACCCUGGGACAAGAUAUGACGGUAAUGGACUCACCAAGGCACCUUGAAGAGGCAAAAUUUAAUUAUACAUCUACCCAAACGCAUGCUAAGAUUUUAAUAUCGACAAUCAUUUCCACGAGUUCAGCAUACUGGCACAAAUAAGAGACAAUCAUGUUUAAAAUCGCCCUUGUAUAUCAACUUAAUUACAUUAACGAGUUCCGGUACUAAGGUUGCGAGUAAAACUAUGUACAAGGUAGGAUUGUUGAAAAAUGCAAAGGCCGAUACACUCCCUUAUCACCUUGCACAACGCACAAUUCCGUACUAUACUACUAUAUUAGGAGUGUAUAACAGGGAAGGCA
Glycine soja is the source of this 2140-nucleotide RNA transcript. It is a transcript of the gene named transcription factor ICE1-like, with no coding region annotated. The record is from RefSeq and is a predicted model, not a curated record. The transcript has 5 exons. Lineage: Eukaryota; Viridiplantae; Streptophyta; Magnoliopsida; Fabales; Fabaceae.